Molecule: ribosomal RNA, 421 nt
Filed under: uncultured Lachnospiraceae bacterium
Lineage: Bacteria; Bacillati; Bacillota; Clostridia; Lachnospirales; Lachnospiraceae
Description: bacterial SSU rRNA
Rfam family: Bacterial small subunit ribosomal RNA
Source: RNAcentral
UGGGGAAUAUUGGGCAAUGGGCGCAAGCCUGACCCAGCAACGCCGCGUGAAGGAAGAAGGCUUUCGGUAUGUAAAGCUCUAUCAGCAGGGAAGAAAAUGACGGUACCUGACUAAGAAGCCCCGGCUAACUACGUGCCAGCAGCCGCGGUAAUACGUAGGGGCAAGCGUUAUCCGGAUUUACUGGGUGUAAAGGGAGCGCAGGCGGUUCUGCAAGUCUGAUGUGAAAGCCCGGGGCUCAACCCCGGGACUGCAUUGGAAACUGUGGGACUUGAGUGUCGGAGGGGCAAGUGGAAUUCCUAGUGUAGCGGUGAAAUGCGUAGAUAUUAGGAGGAACACCAGUGGCGAAGGCGGCUUGCUGGACGACAACUGACGCUGAGGCUCGAAAGCGUGGGGAGCAAACAGGAUUAGAUACCCUGGUAGU